GUCUACAGCCAUACCACCCUGAAUGCACCCGAUCUCGUCUGAUCUCAGAACCUAAGCAGGGUAGGGCCUAGUUAGUCCCUGGCUGGAAGAAGAAAGGAGAAGUUACUCUUGAAA
Molecule: ribosomal RNA, 114 nt
Filed under: Chinchilla lanigera (long-tailed chinchilla)
Lineage: Eukaryota; Metazoa; Chordata; Mammalia; Rodentia; Chinchillidae
Source: RNAcentral